GACGAACGCUGGCGGCGUGCUUAACACAUGCAAGUCGAGCGGAAAGGGCCUGCUUUUGUGGGGUUCUCGAGUGGCGAACGGGUGAGUAACACGGGAGUAACCUUCGCUGGACUGGAGGAUAACUGCAGGAAACUGGGGCUAAUGCCGGAUAGGAGCGCCUGCUGCAUGGUGGGGGUUGGAAAGCUUGGGCGGAUGGGGCUGGAGUCGCGGCUUAUCAGCUUGUUGGGGGGGUAGUGGCUUACCAAGGCUUUGACGGGUAGUCGGCCUGGGAGGGUGACCGGCCACAUUGGGACUGAGAUACGGACCAGACUCCUACGGGAGGCAGCAGUGGGGAACAUUGCACAAUGGGCGGAAGCCUGAUGCAGCAACGCCGCGUGCGGGAUGAAGGCCUUCGGGUUGUAAACCGCUUUCACCUGUGACGAAGCGUGAUUGACGGUAAUGGCUAAAGAAGCACCGGCUAACUACGUG
This 468-nucleotide ribosomal RNA is filed under the name uncultured bacterium. RNAcentral's name for it is "partial 16S ribosomal RNA". It matches the Rfam family "Bacterial small subunit ribosomal RNA", at positions 28 to 507 of the family's 1533-position model. The record is from RNAcentral.